GGCCCCGUAGUAUAAUGGAUAUUAUAUGGGUUUCCGGAGCCUAGGAUCCAGGUUCGAUUCCUGGCGGGGUCAC
RNAcentral lists this transfer RNA (73 nucleotides) under uncultured Cryomorphaceae bacterium. Its description in RNAcentral is "tRNA-Arg(ccg)". It matches the Rfam family "tRNA". From Rfam's summary of the family: Transfer RNA (tRNA) molecules are approximately 80 nucleotides in length. The record is from RNAcentral. Lineage: Bacteria; Pseudomonadati; Bacteroidota; Flavobacteriia; Flavobacteriales; Cryomorphaceae.